Amphiprion ocellaris (clown anemonefish) is the source of this 835-nucleotide long non-coding RNA. The record is from Ensembl. NCBI's taxonomy places the organism in Eukaryota, Metazoa, Chordata, Actinopteri, Pomacentridae.
GGCUGCCGCAUGAAACAAACAGUGACAGGUAAGUUCAACCAGAUGUUCAGAUGUUCCACCAGGCCUGGUUCAGGUCCACUUUCCUGCAGUGGGACUCAGCUGUGCUGCUCCUGAUUGCUGUAUUGAUUUCUCCUCUUGGACAAACAAUCUUCCCUGAAACCACCCCCACAUUUACCCCGCUGUACAUGAUGUUGCACCGCUGCUCCAUGCUGAACUGGGAUUGGCAAAAUCCUGGAUUAGAGCAUCCAUAAUCUGGUUGCUGUGGCGCUAUGGGACACUGCAGCUCGGCAGAGAUACCAAUCCCAUCGCCAUGGUAACCACAAGAGGGAGAAUCCACCGUAGAGAGCAGCAGCAGGAUUGGACGUGGAGACACUCACACUCGGUUAAUGGCACAUUAGUGGCGGGAGGAGACGCAGGACUUCACUGCUGCUUUAUUUAAUUCUGUUUUCUGCUGUAAUUAAAUAGAAAUCUGUGUUUAAUCCUGAAUCACCUGAGUCUGUAAGAUCUGGACGAUCAAAACCCUGAAUCCAUCAUCCAAAGUUGGAAGCUCACCUCAGCGUAGCAGAUGAUAGUGUGGCUUAGUUAUGCAAGAAGAAAAGAUCACCCAAAGGCGCUUAGCCGGAGACAGACAGGACACAUCCUGAAAAAAAAAGCAAAAAAAACCCGAUCUGCCUCAACAUCUUUUCACAGAAGUCAACAUUUAGCUACUUUAGGUCUUAACAGACGACUCUGUCUUUCUUUUGCAUAAAAGCGUCUCAUAUUCUCACCUGUUUCCACUGGUUUCCUGCCAGAUAACGGUUUUAUUUAUUGGGAGAUUUGUUUCUGUAAAGCAUAG